RNAcentral lists this non-coding RNA (24 nucleotides) under Arabidopsis thaliana (thale cress). The record is from RNAcentral. Lineage: Eukaryota; Viridiplantae; Streptophyta; Magnoliopsida; Brassicales; Brassicaceae.
CACCAGGAUCCCCACAGAUGUUGC